UUAUGUAACUGUCAACUAACGGUCAACUAACGGUAGUGCCAUAUUUGUACCCCAUGAAAAAUUUGAGCGGCAAUUUUGAAACAACAAAAUUCUGAGUGACAUUUGGGCAUAUGGCCAAAAUUUGAGUGGCAGAUAUGGAAUUCUCUCUCUGAUCUUUGCUAGGUGUUCAAUGUUGGUGGCGCCUUCUGUCCGAGGAGUGAGACAGCAGGGUCGGGUUCCAUGAUCACCAGGGCAACAUUCUAGACCGUCUAUGGGGCAAGAUCUUAAUUAAAUAGACCUGUAUUCUUUGAAAUUUUGAUACUGAGUCUAUUUUGUAGAUCGGCAAUACAACGAAUGAGAUCUAUAAUAUGUCAACAUUUGGUCAAGAAAACAAACAAAAAAAAGAUGUCCAAUUCCUGCAGCUAGGCCAAACACAAAUUAAAGUAGGGAACCAAUCACACCGUAUGGUAGGCCAAACACAAAUGAGAUCUAUUUUGUAAGUAGUGACCAUCGCAUCUCUCUCCUUCUGAAGGUAGGAAGAAAUAGGAAAAAGGAGCAAAAAUAAAGAAGCAUGUCCUGUCCUAGCAAAUACGGGCAAC
This 578-nucleotide long non-coding RNA is filed under the name Brachypodium distachyon (stiff brome). Its description in RNAcentral is "long non-coding RNA (BDIS_LNC003210)". Lineage: Eukaryota; Viridiplantae; Streptophyta; Magnoliopsida; Poales; Poaceae. The record is from RNAcentral.